RNAcentral lists this ribosomal RNA (500 nucleotides) under uncultured bacterium. Its description in RNAcentral is "partial 16S ribosomal RNA". It matches the Rfam family "Bacterial small subunit ribosomal RNA", at positions 30 to 523 of the family's 1533-position model. The record is from RNAcentral.
AUUGAACGCUGGCGGAAUGCUUUACACAUGCAAGUCGAACGGCAGCACGGACUUCGGUCUGGUGGCGAGUGGCGAACGGGUGAGUAAUACAUCGGAACGUGCCCAGUCGUGGGGGAUAACGUAGUGAAAAUUACGCUAAUACCGCAUACGAUCUAUGGAUGAAAGCGGGGGAUCGCAAGACCUCGCGCGAUUGGAGCGGCCGAUAGCAGAUUAGGUAGUUGGUGAGGGAAAGGCUCACCAAGCCAACGAUCUGUAGCUGGUCUGAGAGGACGACCAGCCACACUGGAACUGAGACACGGACCAGACUCCUACGGGAGGCAGCAGUGGGGAAUUUUGGACAAGGGACGCAAGUCUGAUCCAGCCAUUCCGCGUGCAGGACGAAGGCCUUCGGGUUGUAAACUGCUUUUGUACGGAACGAAAAGGUCUCUAUUAAUACUAGGGGCUCAUGACGGUACCGUAAGAAUAAGCACCGGCUAACUACGUGCCAGCCGCCGCCGUAA